Molecule: ribosomal RNA, 484 nt
Filed under: uncultured bacterium
Lineage: Bacteria
Description: partial 16S ribosomal RNA
Rfam family: Bacterial small subunit ribosomal RNA
Source: RNAcentral
AUUGAACGCUGGCGGCAUGCUUUACACAUGCAAGUCGAACGGCAGCGCGGGCUUCGUCCUGGCGGCGAGUGGCGAACGGGUGAGUAUAACAUGGGAACGUCCCACGUAUGGGGGUAUGGCUCGUCCAAGGCCGGAUGAAUACCACAUACUACCGGCGGGUGAAGCCGGGGGUUCUUCGGACCUCGCCCUAUGGGGGGGACGGAUGCGGGGUUGGUUAGUUGGUGGGGUAAGGGCCUACCAAGCCGCGGAUUGGUAGCUGGUCUGAGAGGACGACCGGCCACACUGGGACUGAGACGGGGCCCAGACUCCUACGGGAGGCAGCAGUGGGGAACUUUGGACAAUGGGCGAAAGCCUGAUCCAGCAAUGGCGAGUGUGUGAUGAAGGCCUUCGGGUUGUAAAGAACUUUUGGCGGGAACGAAAAGGACUGGGCCAAUACCACGGUUGGAUGACGGUAACCGGAGAAUAAGCACCGGCUAACUACGUG